UGGGGAAUAUUGCACAAUGGGCGCAAGCCUGAUGCAGCCAUGCCGCGUGUGUGAAGAAGGCCUUCGGGUUGUAAAGCACUUUCAGCGAGGAGGAAGGUGGUGAGCUUAAUACGCUCAUCAAUUGACGUUACUCGCAGAAGAAGCACCGGCUAACUCCGUGCCAGCAGCCGCGGUAAUACGGAGGGUGCAAGCGUUAAUCGGAAUUACUGGGCGUAAAGCGCACGCAGGCGGUUUGUUAAGUCAGAUGUGAAAUCCCCGGGCUCAACCUGGGAACUGCAUUUGAAACUGGCAAGCUAGAGUCUCGUAGAGGGGGGUAGAAUUCCAGGUGUAGCGGUGAAAUGCGUAGAGAUCUGGGGAAUACCGGUGGCGAAGGCGGCCCCCUGGACGAAGACUGACGCUCAGGUGCGAAAGCGUGGGGCAGCAAACAGGAUUAGAUACCCUGGUAGUCCAGCGCUGUAAACGAUGUCGAUUUGGAGGUUGUGCCCUUGAGGCGUGGCUUCCGGAGCUAACGCGUUAAAUCGACCGCCUGGGGAGUACGGCCGCAAGGUU
RNAcentral lists this ribosomal RNA (549 nucleotides) under uncultured bacterium. RNAcentral's name for it is "partial 16S ribosomal RNA". It matches the Rfam family "Bacterial small subunit ribosomal RNA", at positions 355 to 895 of the family's 1533-position model. The record is from RNAcentral.